GCAUGCAUGUAUUCAAUAAAAACGGAUGCGUGUGUAUGGCUGUUUGUUUGCAGUAGGCUAAUGCUCCACACUAUCGACACCUCUUAUCUUUUGUAAAUAUGUAAUUGUAGUAGGACUAUGCUAGGUCCAGUGGUUUUCAUAUCUGAGAUAGUGCAGCGACAGGCAGGCAGCUGCGAAUCACAGUUCACCUUAGCUGAACUUCGCAAAUCUAUUUCAGCAAUGGCAGAAGGAACACAGUGAGUUUGUCGGGUCUACUGAUAGUCCGGCCCCGCCACCGAUGUGGCAAGCGAGGAAAUGUUGGUAGCCUAUUCUCAAUUAAUAUUUUUAAAAGAGUCGGCGAACUCAUCACAUCUUAUUUUGCUAUCGAUGCUUCUUUGCAGAAGGUUAUAUAGGCCUACUUUGCUACAAUGUUACAAUGUAUCUACUCAGAGCGCGUGUCACUACACAGCCUAGUCUUCUUUUCUCACACUCGCAUCGUUGUUGCGACCGUGCAGCGAGGACACAAUACUUACGGGGGAGUGGAAUUGGACGUGAGGGAGAGACAGGGUGAUGGUCGCUCAAGACUUGGACUUGAACUUGAACUUCAUCUUGAAAUUGGCGUCCUUGUCAAAUCGACAUUCAUCUUUUUUCCAUAAGAAAUAUAUAUUUUCUGUGAUUCAAUGACAAACUACGAGGAGAUAUAAGGAAAAUACAGAUGUUUUGAAGACAAGCAACUAAACAAGUGGACAUUUCAGAUCAACAGAAAGUCAAAGAUUUGAAGAAUGCAUGUUAUAGACAUUGUUAUAACAGCUUCUAGAUAUCAGGACAGCGAUUACUCACCCCGUACUGGAGGAAUAAUUUUUCUUCAACGAGUCGGACGGCAAGGGUUUACUUCAGACGCCCGACUAGACCCUCAUCCCGUUAUUCGCAGGAGAAAGAGACGGAGGAAUCGGGGACGAAGGUCCGGGUGCCUUCUAAGGAUCCGACGCUGAGAGGAGUCAUGGCUGUAGGACGACAAGAAUAACAUACAGCUGGCGGGUUUUAAGCUUUUUUCGGCAGGAUAGAACAGCGGCCUCUGGUAAGACAAGGGGUGGAGGCCUAUGUAUAUAAACAGCUGGUGCACGAAUCUAAGGAAGUCUCGAGGUUUUGCUCGCCUGAGGUAGAGUAUCUCAUGAUAAGCUGUAGACCACACUACUUACUAAGAGAGAUCUGUAUUUGUUGUAGCUGUCUAUAUACCACCACAAACGGAUGCUGGCACUAAGACUGCACUCAAUGAGCUGUAUACGGCCAUAAGCAAACAGGAAAGCGCUCAUCCAGAGGCGGUGCUCCUAGUGGCCAGAGACUUUAAUGCAGGGAAACUCAAAUCCAUUUUACCUCAAUUCUACCAGCAUGUUAAAUGUGCAACCAGAGGGAAAAAGACUAGACCACCUUUACUCCACACACAGAGACCCGUACAAAGCUCUCCUUUGCCCUCCUUUUGGCAAAUCUGACCAUAAUUCUAUCCUCCUGACUCCUGCUUACAUGCAUAAACUAAAGCAGGAAGCACCAGUGACUCGGUCAAUAAGAAAGUGGUCAAAUGAAGCACAUGCUAAGCUACAGGACUGUUUUGCUAGCACAGACUGGAAUAUGUUCCAGGAUUCUUUCAAUUGUAUUGAGGAGUACACCACAUCAGUCACUGGCUUCAUCAAUAAGUGCAUCGAUGACGUCGUCCCCACAGUGACCGUAUGUACAUACCCCAACCAGAAGCCAUGGAUCAAAUCAAAUUUUAUUGAUCACAUGCUUGUGCUUCUAGUUCCUACAGUGCAGUAAUAUCUAACAAGUAAUCUAACAAUUCCCCAACAACUACCUAAUACACACAAAUCUAAAAGGAUGUAAUAAGAAUAUGUACAUAUAGAUAUAUGGAUGAGCGGUAGCCAAGCGUCAUAGGCAAGAUGCAGUAUAUACAUAUGAUAUGAGUAAUGUAAGAUAUGUAAACAUUGAAGUGGCAUUGUUUAAAGUGACUAGUGAGUGUCUAUGUAGGCAGCAGCCUCUCUGAGUUAGUGAUUGCUGUUUAGCAGUCUGAUGGCCUUGAGAUAGAAGCUGUUUUUCAGUCUCUCAGUCCCAACUUUGAUACACCUGUACUGUCCUCGCCUUCUGCAUGGUAGCGGGGUGAACAGGCAGUGGC
Molecule: long non-coding RNA, 2143 nt
Filed under: Salmo salar (Atlantic salmon)
Lineage: Eukaryota; Metazoa; Chordata; Actinopteri; Salmoniformes; Salmonidae
Description: lncRNA (ENSSSAG00000116992.1)
Source: RNAcentral